GAUGAACGCUAGCUACAGGCUUAACACAUGCAAGUCGAGGGACCGGCGCACGGGUGAGUAACACGUAUCCAACCUGCCCUUUACUCGGGGAUAACCUUUCGAAAGAAAGAUUAAUACCCGAUGUAAAGGUUGGGGAUGCGUUCCAUUAGGUUGUUGGUGAGGUAACGGCUCACCACGCCUUCGAUGGAUAGGGGUUCUGGGGGGAAGGUCCCCCACAUUGGAACUGAGACCCUGUCAAAACUCCUACGGGAGGCAGCAGUGAGGAAUAUUGGUCAAUGGGCGGUAGCCUGAACCAGCCAAGUAGCGUGAAGGAUGAAGGCUUAUGGGUCGUAAACUUCUUUUAUAUAAGAAUAUGUAUUAUAUGAAUAAGGAUUGGCUAACUCCGUGCCAGCCGCCGCGGUAAUUC
RNAcentral lists this ribosomal RNA (406 nucleotides) under uncultured bacterium. Its description in RNAcentral is "partial 16S ribosomal RNA". It matches the Rfam family "Bacterial small subunit ribosomal RNA", at positions 28 to 526 of the family's 1533-position model. The record is from RNAcentral.